This 395-nucleotide ribosomal RNA is filed under the name uncultured bacterium. Its description in RNAcentral is "partial 16S ribosomal RNA". It matches the Rfam family "Bacterial small subunit ribosomal RNA", at positions 523 to 918 of the family's 1533-position model. The record is from RNAcentral.
AUACGUAGGGUGCAAGCGUUAAUCGGAAUUACUGGGCGUAAAGCGUGCGCAGGCGGUUUUGUAAGACAGAGGUGAAAUCCCCGGGCUCAACCUUGGAACUGCCUUUUUGACUGGAAGGCUAGAGUACGGCAGAGGGGGAUGGAAUUCCGCGUGUAGCAGGGAAAUGCGUAGAUAUGCGGAGGAACACCGAUGGCGAAGGCAAUCCCCUGGGCCUGUACUGACGCUCAUGCACGAAAGCGUGGGGAGCAAACAGGAUUAGAUACCCUGGUAUUCCACGCCCUAAACGAUGUCAACUGGUUGUUGGGUCUUCAUUGACUCAGUAACGAAGCUAACGCGUGAAGUUGACCGCCUGGGGAGUACGGCCGCAAGGUUGAAUCUCAAAUGAAUUGACGGGG